AGUGAACGCUGGCGGUAGGCCUAACACAUGCAAGUCGAACGGCAGCACAGUAAGAGCUUGCUCUUACGGGUGGCGAGUGGCGGACGGCUGAGGAAUACAUCGGAAUCUACUUUUUCGUGGGGGAUAACGUAGGGAAACUUACGCUAAUACCGCAUACGACCUACGGGUGAAAGCAGGGGAUCUUCGGACCUUGCGCGAUUGAAUGAGCCGAUGUCGGAUUAGCUAGUUGGCGGGGUAAAGGCCCACCAAGGCGACGAUCCGUAGCUGGUCUGAGAGGAUGAUCAGCCACACUGGAACUGAGACACGGUCCAGACUCCUACGGGAGGCAGCAGUGGGGAAUAUUGGACAAUGGGCGCAAGCCUGAUCCAGCCAUACCGCGUGGGUGAAGAAGGCCUUCGGGUUGUAAAGCCCUUUUGUUGGGAAAGAAAAGCAGCAGGUUAAUACCCCGCUGUUCUGACGGUACCCAAAGAAUAAGCACCGGCUAACUUCGU
Molecule: ribosomal RNA, 491 nt
Filed under: uncultured bacterium
Lineage: Bacteria
Description: partial 16S ribosomal RNA
Rfam family: Bacterial small subunit ribosomal RNA
Source: RNAcentral